GAUGAAGAACGUAGCGAAAUGCGAAAAGUAGUGUGAAUUGCAGAAUUCAGUGAAUCAUCGAAUCUUUGAACGCACAUUGCGCCCCUUGGUAUUCCAUGGGGCAUGCCUGUUCGAGCGUCAUUUCAACCCUCGAGCCCCCCCGGGGGCCUCGGUGUUGGGGGACGGCACACCAGCCGCCCCCGAAAUGCAGUGGCGACCCCGCCGCAGCCUCCCCUGCGUAGUAGCACACACCUCGCACCGGAGCGCGGAGGCGGUCACGCCGUAAAACGCCCAACUUUCUUAGAGUUGACCUCGGAUCAGGUAGGAAUACCCGCUGAACUUAAGCAUAUCAAUAAGCGGAGGA
RNAcentral lists this unclassified non-coding RNA (343 nucleotides) under soil metagenome. RNAcentral describes it as "partial contains 5.8S ribosomal RNA, internal transcribed spacer 2, and large subunit ribosomal RNA". The stretch from base 1 to 120 matches the Rfam family "5.8S ribosomal RNA", at positions 35 to 154 of the family's 154-position model. The record is from RNAcentral.